Molecule: non-coding RNA, 46 nt
Organism: Schistosoma margrebowiei
Lineage: Eukaryota; Metazoa; Platyhelminthes; Trematoda; Strigeidida; Schistosomatidae
Source: Rfam
GCACUACUGGGGAGUCCCAUACUAGGACGAAACGGCCGUCCAGUGC